CUGUGCUCUCUCCUUAAUCCCUAUGUAUAUUUAGACAAAUGUACAGACAUAGGGAUUAAGGAGAGAGCACAGGU
This is a non-coding RNA of Pelobates cultripes (western spadefoot toad), 74 nucleotides long. Lineage: Eukaryota; Metazoa; Chordata; Amphibia; Anura; Pelobatidae. The record is from the annotation of a GenBank genome assembly.